RNAcentral lists this unclassified non-coding RNA (349 nucleotides) under Hevea brasiliensis (rubber tree). The record is from RNAcentral. Lineage: Eukaryota; Viridiplantae; Streptophyta; Magnoliopsida; Malpighiales; Euphorbiaceae.
GUAAGGACUCAACUUUUUUUUUUCUUUUGCUUUAGUUUAGAUUUGUUAUUUCAGCCUUGCAAUGGUGACUGUCCUACAUGUGAUAAGACUGCUUUCCAAAGCUUUUCCUUCAUUAAGGGAAUCAGAAACAUUUUGUUCAUUGUGGCUAACAUACUUCUAAUGCACAAGUGUUCACUUUUAGGGGUUUGAGGUCCUAAGUGAGCAAUGAAUGUCUUGACAAUUUUUAUACCUCUAUAUCAAACUAUGAAAGAAAAAAAAAAUGAGAUCACCAAAUCUUUUUCCCCAUUAAAGCCUGUUUUCCCCAGUCAAAUUUAAGAUGCCUAGACGUCUAAUCUGUUCAUUUAUUGCA